This 304-nucleotide ribosomal RNA is filed under the name uncultured bacterium. RNAcentral's name for it is "partial 16S ribosomal RNA". It matches the Rfam family "Bacterial small subunit ribosomal RNA", at positions 506 to 807 of the family's 1533-position model. The record is from RNAcentral.
CAGCAGCCGCCGCGGUAAUACGGAGGGUGCAAGCGUUAUCCGGAUUUAUUGGGUUUAAAGGGUCCGUAGGCGGAUCUGUAAGUCAGUGGUGAAAUCUCACAGCUUAACUGUGAAACUGCCAUUGAUACUGCAGGUCUUGAGUAAAUUUGAAGUGGCUGGAAUAAGUAGUGUAGCGGUGAAAUGCAUAGAUAUUACUUAGAACACCAAUUGCGAAGGCAGGUCACUAAGAUUUAACUGACGCUGAUGGACGAAAGCGUGGGGAGCGAACAGGAUUAGAUACCCCAGUAGUCCCUGUCUCUUAUAC